Molecule: RNA transcript, 790 nt
Organism: Xenopus laevis (African clawed frog)
Lineage: Eukaryota; Metazoa; Chordata; Amphibia; Anura; Pipidae
Gene name: serine/threonine-protein kinase 4-like
Exons: 6
Source: RefSeq, a predicted model, not a curated record
GGGGGUUUCAUAAUUCAGGUUUCUAUCUUAUUGUGGUUAAACAAGUUAUUUUCCAUUAAUGGAUUCUAUCUGUCAUUUCAGUCGACUUUGGACACAGCUGGGACCUGGACCCGCAAACUGGGUUGUGCCACGAAGCGGAAGGGACACCACAUUGGAUGGCACCCGAGGCCAUAAGGCAGAAGGGCCAGCGCCUGGCGUACGACACCAAAUGUGACAUCUGGUCGCUGGGGAUAACCGCCAUCGAAAUGGCUGAAGGAAAACCACCAUACACAGGGCAAUAUCCAGUUGAGGACCUGAUAAUUGAAGCCCAACCACCGAAGCUUCAAUCGAACACCUGGUCACAGCAUUUUGUGUCCUUCUUGGAGUCCUGUCUGAAAAAGGAUCCUUCGGAGAGAGCGAGUGCUGAAGAACUCCUGCAGCACCCAUUCGUCACCCAAAUACCACCUAAGAAGAUCGUCAGGGCUGAGAUAGAAGAACAUCUCCGGACUCUGCAGAACUUGCCGGCCAAGAAAGGACUGAAGGGAGUUGCUCUCUCAAAGCUGCGGCGUGCUUGUGACUUCUGCACACAGACAUCGGCAGAACAAGAAGCAGCUCUGCAAAUGGCCCUGGAAGGCUUCUCCUGUUAUUGAUAUUGUGGCCAAUAACAUCAACAGCCCAGAAUCAGUUUCCUAAAUCACAGCCAAGGAAAAAGAAACAUCCACAGGAUCCAGUGGCGUCUGCAGCUCCACCAGCAACAUCUCCUUUCAAGCUGAUGCAGUUCAGCAAGUGGUAACUUCAAGAUUCCUGCAAC